RNAcentral lists this transfer RNA (71 nucleotides) under Nomia chalybeata. RNAcentral describes it as "tRNA-Ala". The record is from RNAcentral. Lineage: Eukaryota; Metazoa; Arthropoda; Insecta; Hymenoptera; Halictidae.
AGGAUAUUAGUUAAUAAUUAUAACAUUAAAAUUGCAAUUUAAUAUAAUAUUUAAUCAUAAUAUAUAUCUUU